This 230-nucleotide ribosomal RNA is filed under the name uncultured bacterium. RNAcentral describes it as "partial 16S ribosomal RNA". It matches the Rfam family "Bacterial small subunit ribosomal RNA", at positions 15 to 235 of the family's 1533-position model. The record is from RNAcentral.
GAUCCUGGCUUAGGAUGAACGCUAGCUACAGGCUUAACACAUGCAAGUCGAGGGGCAGCAUGGUCUUAGCUUGCUAAGGCCGAUGGCGACCGGCGCACGGGUGAGUAACACGUAUCCAACCUGCCGUCUACUCUUGGGACAGCCUUCUGAAAGGAAGAUUAAUACAAGAUGGCAUCAUGAGUCCACAUGUUCACAUGAUUAAAGGUAUUCCGGUAGACGAUGGGGAUGCG